Molecule: ribosomal RNA, 253 nt
Filed under: uncultured bacterium
Lineage: Bacteria
Description: partial 16S ribosomal RNA
Rfam family: Bacterial small subunit ribosomal RNA
Source: RNAcentral
GACAGAGGGUGCAAACGUUGUUCGGAAUUACUGGGCGUAAAGCGCGUGUAGGCUGUUUCGCAAGUCGGAUGUGAAAGCCCUGGGCUCAACCGUGGAAGUGCACUCGAAACUGCGCAGCUAGAGUCCUGGAGAGGAAGGUGGAAUGCUUGGUGUAGAGGUGAAAUUCGUAGAUAUCAAGCGGAACACCGGUGGCGAAGGCGGCCUUCUGGACAGUGACUGACGCUGAGAUGCGAAAGCGUGGGGAGCAAACAGG